GUGGGGAAUUUUGGACAAUGGGCGAAAGCCUGAUCCAGCCAUGCCGCGUGCAGGAUGAAGGCCUUCGGGUUGUAAACUGCUUUUGUACGGAACGAAAAGACUCCUUCUAAUAAAGGGGGUCCAUGACGGUACCGUAAGAAUAAGCACCGGCUAACUACGUGCCAGCAGCCGCGGUAAUACGUAGGGUGCAAGCGUUAAUCGGAAUUACUGGGCGUAAAGCGUGCGCAGGCGGUUAUAUAAGACAGAGGUGAAAUCCCCGGGCUCAACCUGGGAACUGCAUUUGUGACUGUAUAGCUAGAGUACGGUAGAGGGGGAUGGAAUUCCGCGUGUAGCGGUGAAAUGCGUAGAUAUGCGGAGGAACACCGAUGGCGAAGGCAAUCCCCUGGACCUGUACUGACGCUCAUGCACGAAAGCGUGGGGAGCAAACAGGAUUAGAAACCCCUGUAGUCC
RNAcentral lists this ribosomal RNA (450 nucleotides) under uncultured bacterium. Its description in RNAcentral is "partial 16S ribosomal RNA". It matches the Rfam family "Bacterial small subunit ribosomal RNA", at positions 354 to 796 of the family's 1533-position model. The record is from RNAcentral.